GACGAACGCUGGCGGCGUGCUUAACACAUGCAAGUCGAACGGAAAGGCCCUGAUUUUGUGGGUUGCUCGAGUGGCGAACGGGUGAGUAACACGUGAGUAACAUGUCCUUGACUUUGGGAUAACUUCAGGAAACUGGGGCAAAUAACGGAUAUGAGCUCCUGCUGCAUGGUGUGGGUUGGAAAGUUUCGGCGGUUGGGGAUGGACUCGCGGCUUAUCAGCUUGUUGGUGGGGUAGUGGCUUACCAAGGCUUUGACGGGUAGCCGGCCUGAGAGGGUGACCGGCCACAUUGGGACUGAGAUACGGCCCAGACUCCUACGGGAGGCAGCAGUGGGGAAUAUUGCACAAUGGGCGGAAGCCUGAUGCAGCAACGCCGCGUGCGGGAUGACGGCCUUCGGGUUGUAAACCGCUUUCGCCUGUGACGAAGCGUGAGUGACGGUAAUGGGUAAAGAAGCACCGGCUAACUACGUG
Molecule: ribosomal RNA, 468 nt
Filed under: uncultured bacterium
Lineage: Bacteria
Description: partial 16S ribosomal RNA
Rfam family: Bacterial small subunit ribosomal RNA
Source: RNAcentral